CCCUGGGCACUGUCACUGCCUGGGGUAGAACAAAAACAGAACCUGGUCAGAUCCCACAGAAGAUGUGGCUAGAGGAGGAAUUGUGGGGUGGGUGAGCUCCCCCAUGGGCUCCCAAACACAAUAUCCCAAGGACCUCAGGCAUCAGCCUCCUUCAUACUUACUUGCAGCCUGAGUGUAACUCCCUCCUUUUCUAUCUGUGGGAAGAAAAUGUCCUGUGAGAUACCAGAAAGGAGCCAGGGCCUUAAGGUCCUAGAGGAACCUCCUAGUCUUGGACCCCAGAGAAGUUUCCAGAAAUGUGUGACUGCAGACCCAGGGCGGGAUCAGGAAACAUGAAGAAAGCAGGUGUGGGUCCUGGACCAAUAGCCCUCCUGAGGUCUGUCCUCAGGGACCUUCCCCUGUGACUUGUGACUGCUGGGAUCAGGUCCCAUCACCGCCGUAAUCAAGGUGAUAAAUCUGUCCUUCAUUUUAACAGGUGCUUUACAAAAGAGUAAGUGCUGGCACACAGGGCCCAGGCUGGGUAGGCCCAUGAGUGUGGAUGGUGCUUCCCAGUAACCAGGCAGGACACACUUCUAACUGGGGCUUGAAACCCUCAGUGGGACAAGAAAUCUCAGACCCCACUCCUCAUCCAUUCCUUACCUGAGUUCUUCUUCCUGCACAUCACAGCAGAAACCACAGCUCCAGUGACUACAGCUCCAAGGAGAACCAGGCCAGCAACGAUACCCACGAUGGGGAUGGUGGGCUGAGAAGACUGCUCUGGGAAAAAAGGGGAAGAAGGCACCACCACAGCUGCCCACUUCUGGAAGUUUCCAUCCCCUGCAGGCCUGGUCUCUACAAGCUCCAUGUCCCGAGUC
Molecule: long non-coding RNA, 851 nt
Organism: Homo sapiens (human)
Lineage: Eukaryota; Metazoa; Chordata; Mammalia; Primates; Hominidae
Exons: 3
Source: RefSeq, a predicted model, not a curated record